AAAAUAAUAAGGGCUUUAUCAUUGCCUUUUCUCUGGUCUGAAUUUUUAAAGCUUACUUUAAAAAUUAAAACUUACUUUAAAACAGAUUUCUACUGAAUUGCUGAAAAUGAUGUAGUCUUCUAAAGGAAAACGUGAACACGCUUGAGCAGCAGAACACAAAUGACAAAAAUAUGAAGAAAGUUGUGGCCGUGCCUCCAAGAAUGAGCUGAGGGUGC
This 215-nucleotide long non-coding RNA is filed under the name Felis catus (domestic cat). Its description in RNAcentral is "lncRNA (ENSFCAG00000053371.1)". The record is from RNAcentral. Lineage: Eukaryota; Metazoa; Chordata; Mammalia; Carnivora; Felidae.